RNAcentral lists this ribosomal RNA (427 nucleotides) under uncultured bacterium. Its description in RNAcentral is "bacterial SSU rRNA". It matches the Rfam family "Bacterial small subunit ribosomal RNA", at positions 354 to 773 of the family's 1533-position model. The record is from RNAcentral.
GUGGGGAAUUUUGGACAAUGGGGGCAACCCUGAUCCAGCAAUGCCGCGUGUGUGAAGAAGGCCUUCGGGUUGUAAAGCACUUUUGUCCGGAAAGAAAUCCUUGAUCCUAAUAUGGUCGGGGGCUGACGGUACCGGAAGAAUAAGCACCGGCUAACUACGUGCCAGCAGCCGCGGUAAUACGUAGGGUGCGAGCGUUAAUCGGAAUUACUGGGCGUAAAGCGUGCGCAGGCGGUUCGCUAAGACCGAUGUGAAAUCCCCGGGCUUAACCUGGGAACUGCAUUGGUGACUGGCGAGCUAGAGUGUGGCAGAGGGGGGUAGAAUUCCACGUGUAGCAGUGAAAUGCGUAGAGAUGUGGAGGAAUACCGAUGGCGAAGGCAGCCCCCUGGGCUAACACUGACGCUCAUGCACGAAAGCGUGGGGAGCAAAC